GGCGGGGCCGCAGCAGCUGGUUGGCCCACAGUCUCAGGGGCGCCUUCUGCUUCCUCCCCUGCGGCCGCCUCAAUGGCUUGCCGUGCCAGCUCCUCAAUGGCCUUAAAAGGACUCUCAGAUGGGCUAUUCUGUAGGAUGGAAGGUGUCCCCCAAACAUCACCUGGUAAAAAUAGAGAGCAGCAGCUAUCAGGAGAGCCAAGAAAAGGAGUUUGACGAGGAGCCGCAGGCACAAAGACACCUUCCCAGGGCCACUGUCAACGGUGUCUGUCCCUGCAACAGCUGCAGACCUGAGGAACAAGAAAAGUAGGAUCAGUGUGUGGUAACUGCAGAUUUUAACCAUAGUACAAGAGUGAGUUUUGUUCAAUGAAAGACCUGUGUGGCGCCUGUCCUCUGGCCUGACUCACCUGAGACCAGCACUCUCCUGCGAAUAUCCAUGAACUGCGAGGUUGAGGGGCUGGCGGCGGAGGAAGUGG
Molecule: long non-coding RNA, 473 nt
Organism: Eriocheir sinensis (Chinese mitten crab)
Lineage: Eukaryota; Metazoa; Arthropoda; Malacostraca; Decapoda; Varunidae
Exons: 3
Source: RefSeq, a predicted model, not a curated record